Pan paniscus (pygmy chimpanzee) is the source of this 680-nucleotide long non-coding RNA. The record is from Ensembl. NCBI's taxonomy places the organism in Eukaryota, Metazoa, Chordata, Mammalia, Primates, Hominidae.
CUGUCUCCUUUCCAUUUCCAUUCUUCAAAAGCUCCUGUUAAAGAGAAACUGUUUCUUCUGAUUCUAUCCUUUAGAGUAAUUAUUUUUCUCAUAUUUUCUUUCUAGCUAUUCCAUCUUAAACAUUUCUGGAAGAAUUUCUCACCUCAAUUUACCAACUCACUAAUUUUCACGUUGCCAAUAGCUCAUGAGAAUUUUAAUUAAAAAAUGAGCUUUGGAUAGCAGAUGUAAGAUUUUGAUGAAACAUCUCAGUAUCUUGGACUUGGAUAUCUCCAUUUUUACUAAAAAUUUUAAAGGACAUGUUUAAACGUGACACAAAUCCCUGGUGAACUCACAACUCUUCUGUUUAUAAUGGCAAUAAAAAUCAAGAUUAAAAAGAUAUAGCACAUAUUUAUAGCUAUACCUCGAACAUUCUCUGAAAAACAUCUUGACAUUGAAUGUUGCCGGCACAUUUUGCAUGGGAUGAACAAAGUAUGUCACAGAACUUCUGGAUUUUGUUCAGGGUCUCAGCAGUCCUGUGACUAUUGCCUGAGGAACAUAGAAGGAGUGCCAGAGAAUGAAAAGAGAGAGACAGAGAAAGAGAGAGACAGAGAGAGAGAGAGAGAGACAGAGAGAGAGAUGAUAGUCGGGAAACUUUACAAGAUGAAUUCAUCUUAAAGACAAAGAGAAGCUAGAAAGUCAAC